This 21-nucleotide unclassified non-coding RNA is filed under the name Chlamydomonas reinhardtii. RNAcentral describes it as "small RNA Cre_3913". Lineage: Eukaryota; Viridiplantae; Chlorophyta; Chlorophyceae; Chlamydomonadales; Chlamydomonadaceae. The record is from RNAcentral.
UUGAGGUGUUCAGUUCAGUGG